RNAcentral lists this unclassified non-coding RNA (149 nucleotides) under uncultured Pleosporales. RNAcentral describes it as "sequence contains ITS2". The record is from RNAcentral. Lineage: Eukaryota; Fungi; Ascomycota; Dothideomycetes; Pleosporales.
CCACCCUCAAGCACAGCUUGGUGUUGGGCGUCUGUCCCGCCUUCCGGCGCGGACUCGCCUCAAAACGAUUGGCGGCCCUUCCAGCGGCUUCGAGCGCAGCAGAAUUGCGUCUCUGGCGGCGGGGAGUGGCGUCCAGAAGCCCAUUCUCA